RNAcentral lists this transfer RNA (73 nucleotides) under Ailuropoda melanoleuca (giant panda). It matches the Rfam family "tRNA". Rfam says of the family: Transfer RNA (tRNA) molecules are approximately 80 nucleotides in length. Lineage: Eukaryota; Metazoa; Chordata; Mammalia; Carnivora; Ursidae. The record is from Rfam by way of RNAcentral.
ACCUGGCUGGCUCAGUCAGUAGAACAUGUGACUCUUAAUCUUGAGGUCCUGAGUUCAAGCCUCACGCUGGGUG